GAUGAACGAGGGCGGAGGGAGGACUACAGGAAAGUCGAGCGAACAGACGAGGAGCUUGCUCCUCUGACGUUAGCGGCGGACGGGUGAGUAACACGUGGAGUAAACACCUAUAAGACUGGGAUAACUUCGGGAAACCGGAGCUAAUACCGGAUAAUAUAUUGAACCGCAUGGUUCAAUAGUGAAAGACGGUUUUGCUGUCACUUAUAGAUGGAUCCGCGCCGCAUUAGCUAGUUGGUAAGGUAACGGCUUCCCAAGGCAACGAUGCGUAGCCGACCUGAGAGGGUGUUCGGCCACACUGGAACUGAGACACGGUCCAGACUCCUACGGGAGGCAGCAGUAGGGAAUCUUCCGCAAUGGGCGAAAGCCUGACGGAGCAACGCCGCGUGAGUGAUGAAGGUCUUCGGAUCGUAAACGUCUGUUGUUAGGGAAGAACAAAUGUGUAAGUAACUAUGCACGUCUUGACGGUACCUAAUCAGAAAGCCCCGGCUCCCUACGUC
Molecule: ribosomal RNA, 497 nt
Filed under: uncultured bacterium
Lineage: Bacteria
Description: partial 16S ribosomal RNA
Rfam family: Bacterial small subunit ribosomal RNA
Source: RNAcentral